CCCCUUCCAGGCUCUCCCUUCUGGCUUUGGCAGCCUCAGCUGCAGGACACAAACAAUCUAGGGCUGCUGGGCUGGAGCUGCCGGGGCCAGGAGGAAGGUGGGGAUGGGGGCAUGGCCUGGAGGGGCAGCUCCUGGGGGCACUCACCGUGGAAGGGCUCUGGCAGAGCUGUUCUGUAGCAUCAGUGACACCUGGCAACUGCAUUCGCCAACCCGGUUCCUGAAGAAUUCCAAAGAUCAAUAAAGAUCAAGAGGCCCUCUGGGCAAAGGGCCUGUUCAGUGUGGACUUGAUCACAGGCUGCUGGCCAGCGGGGAAGAUGGAAGUCGCCGGCUUGACUGAGACAUUCACCCCAGCCUUAGAUUUAGGGCAGGACCCUCUCACUGUGUGGUCACCCUUUAUUUUCUCAGCUCUUAUUUAAAAAGAAGAAGAAAAAAAGAAUGUCUGGACAACAGCUAAGGCAGGCAUCCAGAAAUAGGAACACUUUUCUUAGAACACAGCCCAGAUGCAAACAUCAGGAGCAGACACUGCCCAGAUGGCGGCUUUACCCCAGCUGGACUCCUCUGAGGCUUUGGUGGUGGACAGCCCUGUGCCGCAAGCUGGAGUAAGCCGAUUCUCCCCAUGGGGGAAGCAGGCCUGGAAAUGUAGCAGUGUGCCUCAUGGAAAUGUAGCAGUGUGCCUCAUGGAAAUGUAGCAGUGUGCCUCAUGGAAAUGUAGCAGUGUGCCUCAUGGAGCUGACCUUCCCAUGUAACCUAGCAAGCCCUUGAAAAGGAGAGAAAAAAGUAAUGGGGAAAGGUAGCCUCCCUGUGGUAGUUUUAAAAUGUCUGCAAAUUCUUCUCUCCAAGAGGUGGAACUGAAUUUACCUCCCCUUGAGUACGGGCUGUACUUAGUGACUCACUUCUAACAAAGUCGGAAGUGAUGGCGUGUGGCUUCCAAGGGUAGGUCUUAAAAGACACUGCAAGCUCUGACCUGGGCUCCCUCUUCGAUCACUAGCUCUGGGGAAGCCAGCUGCCAUGCUAAAAAAGACACUCAAGCAGCCCCACGGAGAGGUCCACAACGCAAGGAGCUGAGUCCUCCCACCAACAGCCAGUGAGGAGCCGAGGCCUCCCACCUACAACCAGUGAGGAGCUGAGGCCUCCUGCCACAGUCACGGGAGUGAGCCUUGGAAGCAGAUCCUCCAGUGUCCGUCAGGCCUUCAGAAACUGCAGCCCCUGCUGACAUCUUGACUGAAACUUCAAAAUCAUCCAGCUAAGCUGCUUCCAAAUUCCCAGCUGGGAGAUGAUAAAUGUUUCAAGCUGCUAA
This 1297-nucleotide long non-coding RNA is filed under the name Homo sapiens (human). Its description in RNAcentral is "MYLK antisense RNA 1". The record is from RNAcentral. Lineage: Eukaryota; Metazoa; Chordata; Mammalia; Primates; Hominidae.